Cinara cedri is the source of this 215-nucleotide non-coding RNA. The record is from the annotation of a GenBank genome assembly. NCBI's taxonomy places the organism in Eukaryota, Metazoa, Arthropoda, Insecta, Hemiptera, Aphididae.
UGUGCACACCAAUGACUAAACCCUUUCACUGACUAUACCUAUAUACUAACCUUAAUAUGAUUAUGCAUAAGGAGUUUGAAAAAUUCUGAUCACUUCAAAAUUUAAAUGCCUUAAUGCUAUUCGUUUCUUCUUUUACUGAGUAGGCAAUGCGUAGGAUUAUAUUUGAGGUUAAUAUUAUACAUAUUAUUUUUAAACUCACAUUAUUAUAGUAGUGG